AGUAACGCGUAAGUAAUCUACCCUUGCAUUCGGAACAACUACGGGAAACUGUAGCUAAUACCGGAUACGUUCUCCUUUUUACGAAUUGGAGAAGAAAGAUGGCCUCUUCAUGAAAGCUAUCGUGCAGGGAGGAGCUUGCGUACCAUUAGCUAGUUGGUAGGGUAAUGGCCUACCAAGGCAACGAUGGUUAGCGGGUCUGAGAGGAUGAUCCGCCACACUGGAACUGAAACACGGACCAG
This 239-nucleotide ribosomal RNA is filed under the name uncultured bacterium. Its description in RNAcentral is "partial 16S ribosomal RNA". It matches the Rfam family "Bacterial small subunit ribosomal RNA", at positions 109 to 334 of the family's 1533-position model. The record is from RNAcentral.